This 162-nucleotide ribosomal RNA is filed under the name Ipomoea ramosissima. Its description in RNAcentral is "5.8S ribosomal RNA". It matches the Rfam family "5.8S ribosomal RNA". Rfam says of the family: 5.8S ribosomal RNA (5.8S rRNA) is a component of the large subunit of the eukaryotic ribosome. It is transcribed by RNA polymerase I as part of the 45S precursor that also contains 18S and 28S rRNA. Lineage: Eukaryota; Viridiplantae; Streptophyta; Magnoliopsida; Solanales; Convolvulaceae. The record is from RNAcentral.
CACGACUCUCGGCAACGGAUAUCUCGGCUCUCGCAUCGAUGAAGAACGUAGCGAAAUGCGAUACUUGGUGUGAAUUGCAGAAUCCCGUGAACCAUCGAGUCUUUGAACGCAAGUUGCGCCCGAAGCCGUCAGGCCGAGGGCACGUCUGCCUGGGCGUCACGC